Molecule: ribosomal RNA, 450 nt
Filed under: uncultured bacterium
Lineage: Bacteria
Description: partial 16S ribosomal RNA
Rfam family: Bacterial small subunit ribosomal RNA
Source: RNAcentral
GUGGGGAAUAUUGGACAAUGGGCGCAAGCCUGAUCCAGCCAUGCCGCGUGUGUGAAGAAGGUCUUCGGAUUGUAAAGCACUUUAAGUUGGGAGGAAGGGCAGUAAGUUAAUACCUUGCUGUUUUGACGUUACCGACAGAAUAAGCACCGGCUAACUUCGUGCCAGCAGCCGCGGUAAUACGAAGGGUGCAAGCGUUAAUCGGAAUUACUGGGCGUAAAGCGCGCGUAGGUGGUUCAGCAAGUUGAAGGUGAAAUCCCCGGGCUCAACCCGGAAACUGCCUCCAAAACUACUGAGCUAGAGUACGGUAGAGGGUAGUGGAAUUUCCUGUGUAGCGGUGAAAUGCGUAGAUAUAGGAAGGAACACCAGUGGCGAAGGCGACUACCUGGACUGAUACUGACACUGAGGUGCGAAAGCGUGGGGAGCAAACAGGAUUAGAAACCCGGGUAGUCC